AUUGAACGCUGGCGGCAUGCCUUACACAUGCAAGUCGAACGGCAGCACGGGAGCUUGCUCCUGGUGGCGAGUGGCGAACGGGUGAGUAAUAUAUCGGAACGUACCCUAGAGUGGGGGAUAACGCAGCGAAAGUUGCGCUAAUACCGCAUACGAUCUACGGAUGAAAGUGGGGGAUCGCAAGACCUCAUGCUCAUGGAGCGGCCGAUAUCUGAUUAGCUAGUUGGUGGGUAAAGGCCUACCAAGGCUUCGAUCAGUAGCUGGUCUGAGAGGACGACCAGCCACACUGGAACUGAGACACGGUCCAGACUCCUACGGGAGGCAGCAGUGGGGAAUUUUGGACAAUGGGCGAAAGCCUGAUCCAGCAAUGCCGCGUGAGUGAAGAAGG
RNAcentral lists this ribosomal RNA (385 nucleotides) under uncultured bacterium. RNAcentral's name for it is "bacterial SSU rRNA". It matches the Rfam family "Bacterial small subunit ribosomal RNA", at positions 30 to 414 of the family's 1533-position model. The record is from RNAcentral.